CCUACGGGAGGCAGCAGUGAGGAAUAUUGGUCAAUGGGGGAGAUCCUGAACCAGCCAAGCCGCGUGGAGGAUGACGGUUUUCUGGGUUGUAACCCCUUUUGGUAGGGGAACUAAUGACGGUAUCUAACGAAUAAGCAGCGUCUAACUCCGGGACAGUAGCCGCGGUAAUGCGGAGGGUGCAACCGUUACUCGGAAUCACUGGGCGUAAAGAGCGCGUAGGGGGGAUAGCAAGUCAGCUGUGAAAUCCUCUGGCGUAAACAUAGAACUGGAGUUGAAACUGUGAGUCUAGAGUAGGGGAGAGGUAGGCGGAAUUCGUGGUGUAGGGGUAAAAUCCGUAGAGAUCAAGAGGAAUACUGAUUGCGAAGGCGACAUGCCAGAACCGAACUGACGCUGAUGCGCGAAAGCGUGGGGAGCGAACAGGAUUAGAUACCCCUGUAGUC
Molecule: ribosomal RNA, 440 nt
Filed under: uncultured bacterium
Lineage: Bacteria
Description: partial 16S ribosomal RNA
Rfam family: Bacterial small subunit ribosomal RNA
Source: RNAcentral